CAGUCGCCGCGGUAAUACGUAGGUGGCAAGCGUUGUCCGGAAUUAUUGGGCGUAAAGGGCUCGCAGGCGGUUUCUUAAGUCUGAUGUGGAAGCCCCCGGCUCAACCGGGGAGGGUCAUUGGAAACUGGGAAACUUGAGUGCAGAAGAGGAGAGUGGAAUUCCACGUGUAGCGGUGAAAUGCGUAGAGAUGUGGAGGAACACCAGUGGCGAAGGCGACUCUCUGGUCUGUAACUUACGCUGAGGAGCGAAAGCGUGGGGAGCGAACAGGAUUAGAUACCCGCGUAGUCCCUGUCUCUUAUAC
RNAcentral lists this ribosomal RNA (301 nucleotides) under uncultured bacterium. Its description in RNAcentral is "partial 16S ribosomal RNA". It matches the Rfam family "Bacterial small subunit ribosomal RNA", at positions 509 to 807 of the family's 1533-position model. The record is from RNAcentral.